CCCGCGCUCCUCCGGGCAGAGCGCGUGUGGCGGCCGAGCACAUGGGCCCGCGGGCCGGGCGGGCUCGGGGCGGCCGGGACGAGGAGGGGCGACGACGAGCUGCGAGCAAAGAUGUGCCCCGGGACCCCCGGCACCUUCCAGUGGAUUUCCUUGCGGAAAGGAUGUUGGCGGUCCCUGUGACCUGUGGAGACACGGCCAGAUCUGCCCUCCAGCCUGAUCUUUUGGCCAGAAGGAGAUUAAAAAGAUGCCCCUCAAGAUGGCUGUGCCUGUCAGCUGCAUGGAGCUUCGUUCAAGUAUUUUCUGAGCCUGAUGGAUUUACAGUGAUCUUCAGUGGUCUGGGGAAUAACGCUGGUGGAACCAUGCACUGGAAUGACACACGCCCGGCACAUUUCAGGAUACUAAAAGUGGUUUUAAGGGAGGCUGUGGCUGAAUGCCUCAUGGAUUCUUACAGCUUGGAUGUCCAUGGGGGACGAAGGACUGCAGCUGGCUGAGAGGGUUGAGAUCUCUGUUUACUUAGAUCUCUGCCAACUUCCUUUGGGUCUCCCUAUGGAAUGUAAGACCCCGACUCUUCCUGGUGAAGCAUCUGAUGCACGUUCCAUCCGGCGCUCAGCUGGGCUUGAGCUGACCAUACUCCCUGGAGCCUUCUCCCGAGGUGCGCGGGUGACCUUGGCACAUACAGCCAUCAUGAUGGUACUUUAAGUGGAGGCUGAAUCAUCUCCCCUUUGAGCUGCUUGGCACGUGGCUCCCUUGGUGUUCCCCUUUUACUGCCAGGACACUGAGAUUUGGAGAGAGUCUCACUCUGUGGUCCAGGCUGAAGUACAGUGGCAUGAUCCCAGGUCACUGCAACCCCCACCUCCCGGGUUCAAGUGAUCCUCCUGCCUCAGCCUCCCGAGUAGCUGGUAUUACAGGCGUGUGCCACAAAGCCUGGCUAAGUUUUGUAUUUUUAGUAGAGACGGGGUUUCACCAUGUUGGCCAGGUUGGUCUCGAACUCCUGACCUCAAGUGAUCCACUCACUUUGGCCUUUCAACGUGCUGGGAUUACAGGCGAGAGUCACCGCACCCGGACGACUCUGACAUUUUUGAAGAGUCCAGAAUCCUGUUACACCUGGGAUUUAGGCACUUUCAAUCUGAAAAAAUACAUAUCCUUUCAGCACUCUGGACGGACUUGAGAACUGUCCUUACGUGACCUAAAGCUGGAGUAUUUUGAGAUUGGAGAAUUAAGAGUGUGGGCACCCUGGCUUCAAGCUCACGAGAAACCAGAAGGAAGUCACUGUGCAUAGCCAUCCCCUAAGAAGAGGGCAUUCCUGCUCUUCCUUCUCCAUGGCUAGAGGAUCUACAUGAACUAUUUAGAUUUUUUCUACCUGGGAGAUUUAACUCCUCUCUCCUAUUUAUUUAUUUAUAUAUCAGCAUGGACUUGCAGGCCAACAGAGAUUUUGAGAAACACAUUGAAGGAUCUGUUAACACUUGAUAUACCCAAUAAAAGCAGUGGUUGUGCCAGUGCUGAUCUGUCUUGAUGUGAAUGUGAACAAUGGGAACCUGAGCUGAGCAGUUAAUGCUAGGGUGACAGAAACUGGACCUCUCCCAAGACAUGUGACAGAGUAAUACAGCAGCCAACUUCUUCGCCAAAUUAAAGUUUUACAAGAUUUAACCUGUCAUCAAGACCUGGGAUUUUGGUGAAGGACAGAAUAACGGGCUCCCAGAUUCACAAGCCCCACCAAGAGGAUCACCCCAGGAACGCUUGGAGGCUGAGGAGUUCACUGAGGCUACUGCAUCUUGAGACUCAGGAUGAAGACCCAGCUUGGGGCUGUCAAAGAGGCCUGAAGAGGCAGAACACCCCAGAGGAGCCUGGGGCCACCACCCAGCAUCACUGUGGGAAAACGGCAGCAGGAAAUGUCCUCUCGCCUGCGUGCUCCACCUCGGUCCACGCCUUCCCUCCUUCUGGAAGCCUUGCCUGACCACUGGCCUGCCCCUUCUAUGGGAAUCACUACUGACCUUGCAGCUUAUUAUAGACUUAUAUGUUUUUUGCAUGUCUGACACCCAUGACUCCACCUGGACCUUAUGGCUCCACCCAGAAGCAAUUCAGCCCAACAGGAGGACAGCUUCAACCCAUUACGAUUUCAUCUCUGCCCCAACCACUCAGCAGCAAGCACCUGUUACCUGUCCACCCCCACCCCUUCCCCCAAACUGCCUUUGAAAAAUCCCUAACCUAUGAGCUUUGAAUAAGAUGAGUACGAACUUCAUCGCCCACGUGGCGUGGCCGGCCUCGUGUCUAUUAAAUUCUUUUUCUACUACAA
RNAcentral lists this long non-coding RNA (2293 nucleotides) under Homo sapiens (human). RNAcentral's name for it is "Pvt1 oncogene, transcript variant 18 (PVT1)". The stretch from base 34 to 211 matches the Rfam family "Pvt1 oncogene conserved region 1". The record is from RNAcentral. Lineage: Eukaryota; Metazoa; Chordata; Mammalia; Primates; Hominidae.